Molecule: long non-coding RNA, 1000 nt
Filed under: Cricetulus griseus (Chinese hamster)
Lineage: Eukaryota; Metazoa; Chordata; Mammalia; Rodentia; Cricetidae
Description: lncRNA (ENSCGRG00015040252.1)
Source: RNAcentral
UGACAACCAAAAUAAACUUAAAAACCUUGAACUCGUGCCUGAACAGUAGAUAGUUACUAUUUUAUCAGCUAACAUACUGACUAGUCUAUAGUGGAUCUGACUGACUGAUGCUGUCAAGCUGACAACCAGUAAUAUUUCAGAGAUCUGAGAAGGGUAUACUUUAUCCGAAUCUACUAAAAAGUGACAGAAGCCAGUCUAUAUACAGUUAGCCAAACCCAAGUUUCUCCAUUACUGUUGGAGGCAGCUGUCUCAAAGAACAGCAAUCUUCGCCAGGCCUAUACUGUGAGAGUUUUUUCCUCUCUGUGGAAGAGGGACAUGGAAAAGACUGACCUUGUUUUGUCUAGGCAAAGGGGUGCAAUCAAUUUUCCAGUGUCCAGCAGCUUUGUCCACAGUCUCGGCUAGGUUCUGGCAGUCUGUCUGACAUUAUAAACUUUAAAGAUAACAAUUUAAAUGCCAUAUUCUGAAGAUCUCUGAAGCAUUAGAGGUCUGUUUGUCUGUUUUAGUUACUUGCCUUAAGCACACAUUAAGCAUACAGGUGGCUAGGUAAGGUCUUAUUUCUGUAAAUGAUUUAGUCUGACUGUAACUGGUUUUAACUUAGUAAAAUGUUUGAAACAGCACAGCUGAACUUAAAACUGCAUAGAGCUACCUUAUAUUCCUUAAACAGUAGCUUAACUUCUUUCUGAGGCAGGGUUUUUCUGUGACUUUGGAGCCUGUUCUGGAAUUCGAUCUGCCGGACCAGGCAGGCCUUGAACUCAUAAAGAUCCAUCUGCCUCUUCCUCCCGAAUGGUGGGAUUAAAGGCGUGUGCCAUCUACACCCUGAGCUUAAAGGUGUGUGUCACCAACAUUCUAAACUUAACUUCUGAAAACACAAACUGUACCGUCUUAUAUAGAUCAGCAUCUUUUAUAAAACAAGAACUUUACACUGUCAGGCUUUGCUUAAAAAUAAUUCUAAAUUGAAGCUCUUUAAGUACAAACAUUAAUAAAAAUAAACAUUUGAAAA